AAUCCUCUGCAAAUUAAGCUUAAAAUGUUACUACUAGUCCACCAUAUAAAUUAAAGAGUUAUUGUUUUAAAGAAAAAACAUGUGGCAAAUGAUAGACAAAUAUGGAUAAUAUACCACCCAUCCUGUAGCCUAGACCGGGCCAAGGGCAUGUUCAAGCCCUGAACCAGACUGGGACAGGCCUGGAUCAGACUGGGACAGGCCUGGAUCAAUGGUUCAAAGGCCUGAACCCUAUAUAGUGGGCCAGUUUUAGUCCCUCCAAACACUGAACCAGGUCCAACGGUCCAAUUCCAGUUUGAACCUCUUUUUUUUAAAAAAAAGACAUGGAAGACGUAGGAGUGCACAAUGUAGAUCAAACUGCCUAAAAACCGGAACCGGAAUCACCAUUGAACCGAACCGGAACGAGCCGGUAACAGGCUGUAACCGCCUAGGACCGGUCUGGUUUCGGUCCAUUCCCUUUCUCAGCCCUAAGUCGCCAGUUCCAACCUAGCCGGACCAGUUCCUAGGUCUACUGUAUCCCUUCAUCAACAAGAACAAGUAAAGAAAUAACAAAUGCACAUUCUUAAAUUACCUGGACAAAAAUAUGAUGGCAUGUAUACAUAAAAGCCAUGACUCUCAACUCAUCUUUAACUGAGACACAUAUGCACAUGCACAGGCUCAUUUAUACGUUACACGUGUGUUAGAAACAAAUCCAUUAAUAUUUCAAAGAAUCAGACCACAAAAAUCCUACUACAUGCGUCACAAUAUCAGUGCAACACUUACACG
RNAcentral lists this unclassified non-coding RNA (762 nucleotides) under Hevea brasiliensis (rubber tree). The record is from RNAcentral. Lineage: Eukaryota; Viridiplantae; Streptophyta; Magnoliopsida; Malpighiales; Euphorbiaceae.